RNAcentral lists this ribosomal RNA (543 nucleotides) under fungal sp. RNAcentral describes it as "eukaryotic LSU rRNA". The stretch from base 201 to 354 matches the Rfam family "5.8S ribosomal RNA". Lineage: Eukaryota; Fungi. The record is from RNAcentral.
GUAACAAGGUUUCCGUAGGUGAACCUGCGGAAGGAUCAUUACAGAGUUCAUGCCCUCACGGGUAGAUCUCCCACCCUUGAAUAUUAUACCUUCGUUGCUUUGGCAGGCCGUGGAAACACCAUGGGCUCCGGCUGAUGCGUGCCUGCCAGAGGAAACAAAACUCUGUUUUUAGUGAUGUCUGAGUACUAUAUAAUAGUUAAAACUUUCAACAACGGAUCUCUUGGUUCUGGCAUCGAUGAAGAACGCAGCGAAAUGCGAUAAGUAAUGUGAAUUGCAGAAUUCAGUGAAUCAUCGAAUCUUUGAACGCACAUUGCGCCCCGUGGUAUUCCGCGGGGCAUGCCUGUUCGAGCGUCAUUUCAACCCAUCACGCUUCGGCGUGGUCUUGGGGCCUGCGGUUUCGCAGCCUCUAAACGCAGUGGCGGUGCUAUUGAGCUCUGAGCGUAGUAAUUUCUCUCGCUAUAGAGUCUCGGUGGUGACUUGCCAACAACCCCCAAUUUUUAUCAGGUUGACCUCGGAUCAGGUAGGGAUACCCGCUGAACUUAA